GUGAAUCAUCAAAUUUUUGAACGCAAAUUGCACUCUCUUCGAAGAGUAUGCCUGUUUGAGGGUCAGUAUUAAUAAAAAUCGGUAUGUUGCUUCUUUGUGACGCUCCGGAGGUUGGGUCAUCUUAAUAUCCUUUAGGUUUUAAGAUGCUUACAAUUGACUUUUUUUGUGCAUUUUUGAUGUACAUUAAUUUUUUUUUUUAUUCGUCUGUCUUUAUGCUCAAAAUCUUAUUAGAU
This 233-nucleotide unclassified non-coding RNA is filed under the name Rhizophagus sp. (in: glomeromycetes). Its description in RNAcentral is "partial contains 5.8S ribosomal RNA and internal transcribed spacer 2". The stretch from base 1 to 65 matches the Rfam family "5.8S ribosomal RNA", at positions 84 to 154 of the family's 154-position model. Lineage: Eukaryota; Fungi; Glomeromycota; Glomeromycetes; Glomerales; Glomeraceae. The record is from RNAcentral.